This 245-nucleotide ribosomal RNA is filed under the name uncultured bacterium. Its description in RNAcentral is "partial 16S ribosomal RNA". It matches the Rfam family "Bacterial small subunit ribosomal RNA", at positions 524 to 768 of the family's 1533-position model. The record is from RNAcentral.
UACGUAGGGUGCGAGCGUUAAUCGGAAUUACUGGGCGUAAAGCGUGCGCAGGCGGUGAUGUAAGACAGAUGUGAAAUCCCCGGGCUCAACCUGGGACCUGCAUUUGUGACUGCAUCGCUAGAGUACGGCAGAGGGGGAUGGAAUUCCGCGUGUAGCAGUGAAAUGCGUAGAUAUGCGGAGGAACACCGAUGGCGAAGGCAAUCCCCUGGGCCUGUACUGACGCUCAUGCACGAAAGCGUGGGGAG